RNAcentral lists this ribosomal RNA (492 nucleotides) under uncultured bacterium. RNAcentral's name for it is "partial 16S ribosomal RNA". It matches the Rfam family "Bacterial small subunit ribosomal RNA", at positions 29 to 507 of the family's 1533-position model. The record is from RNAcentral.
AGUGAACGCUGGCGGUAGGCCUAACACAUGCAAGUCGAACGGCAGCACAGUAAGAGCUUGCUCUUACGGGUGGCGAGUGGCGGACGGGUGAGGAAUACAUCGGAAUCUACUUUUUCGUGGGGGAUAACGUAGGGAAACUUACGCUAAUACCGCAUACGACCUACGGGUGAAAGCAGGGGAUCUUCGGACCUUGCGCGAUUGAAUGAGCCGAUGUCGGAUUAGCUAGUUGGCGGGGUAAAGGCCCACCAAGGCGACGAUCCGUAGCUGGUCUGAGAGGAUGAUCAGCCACACUGGAACUGAGACACGGUCCAGACUCCUACGGGAGGCAGCAGUGGGGAGUAUUGGACAAUGGGCGCAAGCCUGAUCCAGCCAUACCGCGUGGGUGAAGAAGGCCUUCGGGUUGUAAAGCCCUUUUGUCGGGAAAGAAAAGCAGCAGGUUAAUACCCCGCUGUUCUGACGGUACCCAAAGAAUAAGCACCGGCUAACUUCGUG